ACGUGGCAUGCGAUAUCUGGCCUGGGCGGGGAGAAAGUUAGAGCUUCCCUGCGGAAAAGAAAGCAUACGGACUGCUGUCGUUCUGUUCGUGAUAGUAAACAAUCUCACGGGCUCGUAUUGUAACUGGAGAAAAUCGGCUUUGACGUGCCAUGUUCAGUCUGUCAAUGCAGAUCAAACAUUUACCACUGAUUAACUCAAAUAACUGUGUAAGAACUGGUCUUAUUUAGUUAAAUUGUUUAAAUUCUUGAUACGUGACAGGAGUCGAGAGACCAGAGGAGCCUGGUAAUGAGGAUACGGCUGAGGUCUCUCCAGUGGUGAAAGGGAGCACAGCGCUCACUGUAACUCAAACAAUCGCACAGCCCACGUCCAAGCCCUGAGAAGUCAUGUUCAUCUCAUCUCCUGUGCUAACAGCACACAUCUACAUGCUGCACUCUGUCAAUAAAGCCUUAGUGAAAAAUAA
This is a long non-coding RNA of Anguilla rostrata (American eel), 460 nucleotides long. RefSeq lists it as uncharacterized. Lineage: Eukaryota; Metazoa; Chordata; Actinopteri; Anguilliformes; Anguillidae. The transcript is spliced from 2 exons. The record is from RefSeq and is a predicted model, not a curated record.